UCCAGACUCCUACGGGAGGCAGCAAUGGGGGAUAUUGGACAAUGGGGGGAACCCUGAUCCAGCGACGCCGCGUGAGUGAAGAAGUAUCUCGGUAUGUAAAGCUCUAUCAGCAGGGAAGAAAGAAAUGACGGUACCUGACUAAGAAGCCCCGGCUAACUACGUGCCAGCAGCCGCGGUAAUACGUAGGGGGCGAGCGUUAUCCGGAUUCACUGGGUGUAAAGGGAGCGUAGACGGCCGUGCAAGCCAGGAGUGAAAGCCCGGGGCCCAACCCCGGGACUGCUCUUGGAACUGUGCGGCUGGAGUGCGGGAGGGGCAGGCGGAAUUCCUGGUGUAGCGGUGAAAUGCGUAGAUAUCAGGAGGAACACCGGCGGCGAAGGCGGCCUGCUGGACCGCGACUGACGUUGAGGCUCGAAAGCGUGGGGAGCGAACAGGAUUAGAUACCCCAGUACG
RNAcentral lists this ribosomal RNA (450 nucleotides) under uncultured bacterium. RNAcentral's name for it is "bacterial SSU rRNA". It matches the Rfam family "Bacterial small subunit ribosomal RNA", at positions 330 to 793 of the family's 1533-position model. The record is from RNAcentral.